AGAAUACAACACAUGAUACAAUCAUUACAAUGUACAGGGUAUUAUACUGAGAAUUCUACUGAUAAUGCACAGUAAAGGUUGAUACAGUCAUUACAAUGUACAGGGUAUUAUAGUGAGAAUUCUACUGAUAAUGCACAGUAAAGGUUGAUACAAUCAUUACAAUGUACAGGGUAUUAUACUGAGAAUUCUACUGAUAAUGCACAGUAAAGGUUGAUACAGUCAUUACAAUGUACAGGGUAUUAUAGUGAGAAUUCUACUGAUAAUGCACAGUAAAGGUUGAUACAGUCAUUACAAUGUACAGGGUAUUAUACUGAGAAUUCUACUGAUAAUGCACAGUAAAGGUUGAUACAAUCAUUACAAUGUACAGGGUAUUAUAGUGAGAAUUCUACUGAUAAUGCACAGUAAAGGUAGAUACAAUCAUUACAAUGUACAGGGUAUUAUAGUGAGAAUUCUACUGAUAAUGCACAGUAAAGGUUGAUACAAUCAUUACAAUGUACAGGGUAUUAUAGUGAGAAUUCUACUGAUAAUGCACAGUAAAGGUUGAUACAGUCAUUACAAUGUACAGGGUAUUAUACUGAAAAUUCUACUGAUAAUGCACAGUAAAGGUUGAUACAAUCAUUACAAUGUACAGGGUAUUAUACUGAGAAUUCUACUGAUAAUGCACAGUAAAGGUUGAUACAAUCAUUACAAUGUACAGGGUAUUAUAGUGAGAAUUCUACUGAUAAUGCACAGUAAAGGUUGAUACAAUCAUUACAAUGUACAGGGUAUUAUUCUGAGAAUUCUACUGAUAAUGCACAGUAAAGGUUGAUACAAUCAUUACAAUGUACAGGGUAUUAUUCUGAGAAUUCUACUGAUAAUGCACAGUAAAGGUUGAUACAAUCAUUUGUUUCAGAGGAGUUGAGGGAUCCAUUUCUUCAUAACUUCCAUAAUGCAUUUGACCAUCGCCAUCUACAAAUGGUUUGUAAGCAGACAGUAAAUUGUAUUUACAUAUAUUAUACCUAAUUUAUAAAUAUACUAAGAAAUUAUACAUUACUAAGAAAUGAAUAGCUGAAAUAUUUACUUAGUCAGCUGUUUAUAAAAAUCUAAUAACAGUUAUUGACUAUCCUAAUAUUCUGCCAAAAACGUGAUAACUAAGGUCAGUAGGCCUAUUUGAAGAUGAGAAUAAACAUAACUCAUGACUUUAAAACAUUUAGCAGCGCGAGGAUUAUACUGAGCAAAACCCAGUAGCCUAAUUGCAACAUUAUAUACAUGUAUAUUUAAUUUGAGUGCUUCUUUAAAUGCCGCGCUAUAGAACAACUCGCUCAUUAGUGUUGAUGAAAGUGGCACUGCUCUUUAUUCCGUCGCGUGUAAACUGCAACUCUCACUGCUUGAAGACCCCACCGCGCGCAGAAGUUACAAAAAUAACCGACAAUAAUUACAAAACAUUUGCCUGUAUCAAAAAACGUUGCUCCUCUAAAAAAAUGGUUUAUCAACUCGUAUAUUAACAGGUCAAAAUACUGGACGAUAACUUACCCCGAUCAAGACACAGACGAAAAUGAAC
This is a long non-coding RNA of Oncorhynchus keta (chum salmon), 1540 nucleotides long. RefSeq lists it as uncharacterized. NCBI's taxonomy places the organism in Eukaryota, Metazoa, Chordata, Actinopteri, Salmoniformes, Salmonidae. The transcript is spliced from 5 exons. The record is from RefSeq and is a predicted model, not a curated record.